Long non-coding RNA from Ornithodoros turicata, 800 nucleotides. RefSeq lists it as uncharacterized. Lineage: Eukaryota; Metazoa; Arthropoda; Arachnida; Ixodida; Argasidae. The record is from RefSeq and is a predicted model, not a curated record. The transcript is spliced from 2 exons.
GUUACAUGUUAGGAUGUUUUGUUCUUUUGCAAGUCUCAUUUAGUAAGACUUUGGAAUUCCUACGAUCAGUUUUCAUGCAUGGUGCUCUUCUGCAAUAGUUUCCUAUGCAAUGGUUAUAGAAGAAUAAAGGAAAUAAUCUUGGGAUAGUGAUUCAAUAAAUAAUAGGUCCCCUGCUAGAGCGCACGCGUCCUUGAGCCACGCAGGUGCAUGAUGACGUCAUACCGUGGCUUCACUGCAGAUUGACCAAAGGAGCAUUAGUGGAAAAAAAAAACAGUGUAGCCCUGAGACAAUAGGAUGAUGUCUGGACCAAUGAGAACUGCCAGCAGGGGGCGCAGGAAUGCUCUUCUCACUUAGCCUCACGACCAAUGAGAAUGGCCAGCAGGGGGCGCAGGAAUGCUCUUCUCUCUUAGCCUCUCGCAGGUGGCGGUAGGAGCGCGCAGAGGGCGCUACGAGCGCGCGCAUGCGUAGCACCCGUAGAGUGGCGCUUACGUCAGUCCACCUCUGGCUCUCGUUGGGAGAAGACGUGCGGUCGUUCGCUCCGUCGUCACUUGAUCCCUGGCUGUCGACGAGAGCAGUCGCAUCGGUCUGCGCUCCUACUGUGAGCUGUCCUAACUUGCCCAGACAUGCCGUGAUGACGUCACAGCUGACGUCACAGGAUGUCCGGAACUGGUGGUCAUAGCUGCGAUGCUUUGCAACCUGCUUCUGUGCUCCGUCACCCAGCGACGGUCAGCGGCCUUUCCGGACCGCUUUCUUCAAGAUGGCGCCGUUGAUCUUCAAUUAAACUCCUUCUCUCCACUCUA